CAGCCGCCGCGGUAAUACGAGGGGGGCAAGCGUUGUUCGGAAUUAUUGGGCGUAGAGGGUGCGUAGGCGGUUUGACAAGUCUCAUGUGAAAUCUUCGGGCUCAACUCGAAGUCUGCAUGGGAAACUGUCGGGCUUGAGUAUGGAAGAGGUGAGUGGAAAUUCCGGUGUAGCGGUGAAAUGCGUAGAUAUCGGAAGGAACACCUGUGGCGAAAGCGGCUCACUGGACCAUAACUGACGCUGAGGCACGAAAGCUAGGGGAGCAAACAGGAUUAGAUACCCCGGUAGUCCCUGUCUCUUAUAC
This 301-nucleotide ribosomal RNA is filed under the name uncultured bacterium. RNAcentral's name for it is "partial 16S ribosomal RNA". It matches the Rfam family "Bacterial small subunit ribosomal RNA", at positions 509 to 807 of the family's 1533-position model. The record is from RNAcentral.